GAUGAACGCUGGCGGCGUGCCUAAUACAUGCAAGUCGAGCGAACGGACGAGAAGCUUGCUUCUCUGAUGUUAGCGGCGGACGGGUGAGUAACACGUGGAUAACCUACCUAUAAGACUGGGAUAACUUCGGGAAACCGUAGCUAAUACCGGAUAAUAUUUUGAACCGCAUGGUUCAAAAGUGAAAGACGGUCUUGCUGUCACUUAUAGAUGGAUCCGCGCUGCAUUAGCUAGUUGGUAAGGUAACGGCUUACCAAGGCAACGAUGCAUAGCCGACCUGAGAGGGUGAUCGGCCACACUGGAACUGAGACACGGACCAGACUCCUACGGGAGGCAGCAGUAGGGAAUCUUCCGCAAUGGGCGAAAGCCUGACGGAGCAACGCCGCGUGAGUGAUGAAGGUCUUCGGAUCGUAAAACUCUGUUAUUAGGGAAGAACAUAUGUGUAAGUAACUGUGCACAUCGUGACGGUACCUAAUCAGAAAGCCACGGCUAACUACGUG
Molecule: ribosomal RNA, 497 nt
Filed under: uncultured bacterium
Lineage: Bacteria
Description: partial 16S ribosomal RNA
Rfam family: Bacterial small subunit ribosomal RNA
Source: RNAcentral